GACGAAAUAGUUUAGUGGUUAGAACAGUAGAAUCAUAAUCUAUUAGUCGUAGGUUCGAACCCUACUUUCGUUA
RNAcentral lists this transfer RNA (73 nucleotides) under Hildenbrandia rubra. Its description in RNAcentral is "tRNA-Met". It matches the Rfam family "tRNA". Rfam says of the family: Transfer RNA (tRNA) molecules are approximately 80 nucleotides in length. The record is from RNAcentral. Lineage: Eukaryota; Rhodophyta; Florideophyceae; Hildenbrandiales; Hildenbrandiaceae.